Molecule: ribosomal RNA, 253 nt
Filed under: uncultured bacterium
Lineage: Bacteria
Description: partial 16S ribosomal RNA
Rfam family: Bacterial small subunit ribosomal RNA
Source: RNAcentral
UACGUAGGGGGCAAGCGUUGUCCGGAUUUAUUGGGCGUAAAGAGCGUGUAGGCGGCCUGACAGGUCUGCUGUGAAAACUCGAGGCUCAACCUCGAGAUGUCGGCGGAAACCGUCUGGCUAGAGUCCGGAAGAGGAGAGUGGAAUUCCUGGUGUAGCGGUGAAAUGCGCAGAUAUCAGGAAGAACACCCGUGGCGAAGGCGGCUCUCUGGUACGUGACUGACGCUGAGACGCGAAAGCGUGGGGAGCAAACAGG